Molecule: ribosomal RNA, 371 nt
Filed under: uncultured bacterium
Lineage: Bacteria
Description: bacterial SSU rRNA
Rfam family: Bacterial small subunit ribosomal RNA
Source: RNAcentral
AGAGGGUGCAAACGUUGUUCGGAAUUACUGGGCGUAAAGCGCGUGUAGGCUGCUUCGCAAGUCGGGUGUGAAAGCCCUGGGCUCAACCUAGGAAGUGCACUCGAAACUGCGAAGCUGGAGUCCUGGAGAGGAAGGCGGAAUUCUCGGUGUAGAGGUGAAAUUCGUAGAUAUCGAGAGGAACACCGGUGGCGAAGGCGGCCUUCUGGACAGUGACUGACGCUGAGACGCGAAAGCGUGGGGAGCAAACAGGAUUAGAUACCCUGGUAGUCCACGCCGUAAACGAUGGGUGCUAGGUGUCGCGGGCUUUGACCCCUGCGGUGCCGUAGCUAACACAUUAAGCACCCCGCCUGGGGAGUACGGCCGCAAGGCUA